UAGGGANUCUUCGGCAAUGGGGGCAACCCUGACCGAGCAACGUCGCGUGAGUGAAGAAGGUUUUCGGAUCGUAAAGCUCUGUUGUAAGGGAAGAACGAGUGUGAGAGUGGAAAGUUCACACUGUGACGGUAACUUACCAGAAAGGGACGGCUAACUACGUGCCAGCAGCCGCGGUAAUACGUAGGUCCCGAGCGUUAUCCGGAUUUAUUGGGCGUAAAGCGAGCGCAGGCGGUUAGAUAAGUCUGAAGUUAAAGGCUGUGGCUUAACCAUAGUACGCUUUGGAAACUGUUUAACUUGAGUGCAAGAGGGGAGAGUGGAAUUCCAUGUGUAGCGGUGAAAUGCGUAGAUAUAUGGAGGAACACCGGUGGCGAAAGCGGCUCUCUGGCUUGUAACUGACGCUGAGGCUCGAAAGCGUGGGGAGCAAACAGGAUUAGAUACCCUGGUAGUCCACGCCGUAAACGAUGAGUGCUAGGUGUUAGACCCUUUCCGGGGUUUAGUGCCGCAGCUAACGCAUUAAGCACUCCGCCUGGGGAGUACGACCGCAAGGUUG
Molecule: ribosomal RNA, 550 nt
Filed under: uncultured bacterium
Lineage: Bacteria
Description: bacterial SSU rRNA
Rfam family: Bacterial small subunit ribosomal RNA
Source: RNAcentral